Molecule: transfer RNA, 92 nt
Filed under: Megaselia scalaris
Lineage: Eukaryota; Metazoa; Arthropoda; Insecta; Diptera; Phoridae
Description: tRNA-Tyr for anticodon GUA
Rfam family: tRNA
About the family: Transfer RNA (tRNA) molecules are approximately 80 nucleotides in length. Their secondary structure includes four short double-helical elements and three loops (D, anti-codon, and T loops).
Source: Rfam by way of RNAcentral
CCUUCGAUAGCUCAGUUGGUAGAGCGGUGGACUGUAGAAAUGAAUUCCAAGUAGAAAUCCAUAGGUCGCUGGUUCAAAUCCGGCUCGAAGGA